This 468-nucleotide ribosomal RNA is filed under the name uncultured bacterium. RNAcentral describes it as "partial 16S ribosomal RNA". It matches the Rfam family "Bacterial small subunit ribosomal RNA", at positions 28 to 507 of the family's 1533-position model. The record is from RNAcentral.
GACGAACGCUGGCGGCGUGCUUAACACAUGCAAGUCGAACGGAAAGGCCCUGCUUUUGUGGGGUGCUCGAGUGGCGAACGUGUGAGUAACACGUGAGUAACCUGCCCUUGACUUUGGGAUAACUUCAGGAAGCUGGGGCUAAUACCGGAUAGGAGCUCCUGCUGCAUGGUGGGGGUUGGAACGUUUCGGCUGUCGGGGAUGGACUCGCGGCUUAUCAGCUUGUUGGUGGGGUAGUGGCUUACCAAGGCUUUGACGGGUAGCCGGCCUGGGAGGGUUACCGGCGACAAUGGGACUGAGAUACGGACCAGACGCCUACGGGAGGCAGAAGGGGGGAAUAUUGCACAAUGGGCGGAAGCCUGAGGCAGCAACGCCGCGUGCGGGAUGAGGGCCUUCGGGUUGUAAACCGCUUUCGCCUGUGACGAAGCGUGAGUGACGGUAAUGGGUAAAGAAGCACCGGCUAACUACGUG